Molecule: long non-coding RNA, 364 nt
Filed under: Salvia miltiorrhiza (redroot sage)
Lineage: Eukaryota; Viridiplantae; Streptophyta; Magnoliopsida; Lamiales; Lamiaceae
Description: long non-coding RNA (SMIL_LNC012109)
Source: RNAcentral
ACCUUCUUAGAUAUCCCAAGCUCCUUGUAUAGCAUUUCUAUUUUCUCGCCGUUCAGCCACCGUUUGGAAGGUAGGGGAGCAGCUGGCGGCGGAGCCCAGGGCUGGCACGUCCAACCGGCUGAAGGCUAUAAAUAUAUAGGAUUCCAACACCUUCCCCGUGGGCAUUGGGGGCGUUCGUUGGGGGAAAAUUGUGGGUUUGGUUUUUUUUUUUUUUUCAAUUGUAAUUUUUAGUCAAAGUGUCAAUUUUUUUUACAAGUGUCAUUUCCGACAGUCACUGUGUCAUUUUCGGCUGUCGCUGUGUCAUUUACUAUAGUCACGUUGGAGAAAAUUGAUGAUCGAAUAUAAUUUAGAAAAAACAAAAGGU